This 253-nucleotide ribosomal RNA is filed under the name uncultured prokaryote. RNAcentral's name for it is "partial 16S ribosomal RNA". It matches the Rfam family "Bacterial small subunit ribosomal RNA", at positions 524 to 776 of the family's 1533-position model. The record is from RNAcentral.
UACGUAGGUGGCAAGCGUUACUCGGAAUCACUAGGCGUAAAGCGCAGGUAGGCGGUUGGGUAAGUCUUUUGUGAAAGCUCCUGGCUUAACUGGGAGAGGUCAAAGGAAACUACCCGGCUCGAGUGUGGUAGAGGUAGCUGGAAUUCCCGGUGUAGCGGUGAAAUGCGUAGAUAUCGGGAGGAAUACCUAUGGCGAAAGCAGGCUACUGGACCAUCACUGACGCUGAUCUGCGAAAGCUAGGGGAGCAAACAGG